CACACACACACACACACACAGUCAGGCACACACACUCACUAGCAGACACACACACACUCACUGACACACAGUCAGACACACACAUACACACUAACAGACAAACACAGUCAGACACACACACUAACAGACACACACACACUAGCAGACACACACACAAACUCACACACACACUAACAAACACACACAUUAACAGACACACACUCACUGACACACACACUCACAGGCAAACACACUCACACUAACAGACACA
Non-coding RNA from Pelobates cultripes (western spadefoot toad), 250 nucleotides. Lineage: Eukaryota; Metazoa; Chordata; Amphibia; Anura; Pelobatidae. The record is from the annotation of a GenBank genome assembly.